Molecule: ribosomal RNA, 2087 nt
Filed under: Campylobacter jejuni
Lineage: Bacteria; Pseudomonadati; Campylobacterota; Epsilonproteobacteria; Campylobacterales; Campylobacteraceae
Description: partial 23S ribosomal RNA
Rfam family: Bacterial large subunit ribosomal RNA
Source: RNAcentral
GGUUCUCUCCGAAAUAUAUUUAGGUAUAGCGUUGUGUCGUAAUAUAAGGGGGUAGAGCACUGAAUGGGCUAGGGCAUACACCAAUGUACCAAACCCUAUCAAACUCCGAAUACCUUAUAUGUAAUCACAGCAGUCAGGCGGCGAGUGAUAAAAUCCGUCGUCAAGAGGGAAACAACCCAGACUACCAGCUAAGGUCCCUAAAUCUUACUUAAGUGGAAAACGAUGUGAAGUUACUUAAACAACCAGGAGGUUGGCUUAGAAGCAGCCAUCCUUUAAAGAAAGCGUAAUAGCUCACUGGUCUAGUGAUUUUGCGCGGAAAAUAUAACGGGGCUAAAGUAAGUACCGAAGCUGUAGACUUAGUUUACUAAGUGGUAGGAGAGCGUUCUAUUUGCGUCGAAGGUAUACCGGUAAGGAGUGCUGGAGCGAAUAGAAGUGAGCAUGCAGGCAUGAGUAGCGAUAAUUAAUGUGAGAAUCAUUAACGCCGUAAACCCAAGGUUUCCUACGCGAUGCUCGUCAUCGUAGGGUUAGUCGGGUCCUAAGUCGAGUCCGAAAGGGGUAGACGAUGGCAAAUUGGUUAAUAUUCCAAUACCAACAUUAGUGUGCGAUGGAAGGACGCUUAGGGCUAAGGGGGCUAGCGGAUGGAAGUGCUAGUCUAAGGUCGUAGGAGGUUAUACAGGCAAAUCCGUAUAACAAUACUCCGAGAACUGAAAGGCUUUUUGAAGUCUUCGGAUGGAUAGAAGAACCCCUGAUGCCGUCGAGCCAAGAAAAGUUUCUAAGUUUAGCUAAUGUUGCCCGUACCGUAAACCGACACAGGUGGGUGGGAUGAGUAUUCUAAGGCGCGUGGAAGAACUCUCUUUAAGGAACUCUGCAAAAUAGCACCGUAUCUUCGGUAUAAGGUGUGGUUAGCUUUGUAUUAGGAUUUACUCCGAAAGCAAGGAAACUUACAACAAAGAGUCCCUCCCGACUGUUUACCAAAAACACAGCACUCUGCUAACUCGUAAGAGGAUGUAUAGGGUGUGACGCCUGCCCGGUGCUCGAAGGUUAAUUGAUGGGGUUAGCAUUAGCGAAGCUCUUGAUCGAAGCCCGAGUAAACGGCGGCCGUAACUAUAACGGUCCUAAGGUAGCGAAAUUCCUUGUCGGUUAAAUACCGACCUGCAUGAAUGGCGUAACGAGAUGGGAGCUGUCUCAAAGAGGGAUCCAGUGAAAUUGUAGUGGAGGUGAAAAUUCCUCCUACCCGCGGCAAGACGGAAAGACCCCGUGGACCUUUACUACAGCUUGACACUGCUACUUGGAUAAGAAUGUGCAGGAUAGGUGGGAGGCUUUGAGUAUAUGACGCCAGUUGUAUAUGAGCCAUUGUUGAGAUACCACUCUUUCUUAUUUGGGUAGCUAACCAGCUUGAGUUAUCCUCAAGUGGGACAAUGUCUGGUGGGUAGUUUGACUGGGGCGGUCGCCUCCCAAAUAAUAACGGAGGCUUACAAAGGUUGGCUCAGAACGGUUGGAAAUCGUUCGUAGAGUAUAAAGGUAUAAGCCAGCUUAACUGCAAGACAUACAAGUCAAGCAGAGACGAAAGUCGGUCUUAGUGAUCCGGUGGUUCUGUGUGGAAGGGCCAUCGCUCAAAGGAUAAAAGGUACCCCGGGGAUAACAGGCUGAUCUCCCCCAAGAGCUCACAUCGACGGGGAGGUUUGGCACCUCGAUGUCGGCUCAUCGCAUCCUGGGGCUGGAGCAGGUCCCAAGGGUAUGGCUGUUCGCCAUUUAAAGCGGUACGCGAGCUGGGUUCAGAACGUCGUGAGACAGUUCGGUCCCUAUCUGCCGUGGGCGUAAGAAGAUUGAAGAGAUUUGACCCUAGUACGAGAGGACCGGGUUGAACAAACCACUGGUGUAGCUGUUGUUCUGCCAAGAGCAUCGCAGCGUAGCUAAGUUUGGAAAGGAUAAACGCUGAAAGCAUCUAAGCGUGAAGCCAACUCUAAGAUGAAUCUUCUCUAAGCUCUCUAGAAGACUACUAGUUUGAUAGGCUGGGUGUGUAAUGGAUGAAAGUCCUUUAGCUGACCAGUACUAAUAGAGCGUUUGGCUUAUCUUUAAUAAAGCAU